CCUACGGGUGGCAGCAGUGAGGAAUAUUGGGCAAUGGACGCAAGCCUGACCCAGCAACGCCGCGUGCAGGAAGAAGGCUCUCGGAGUGGAAACCUGCUUUUGUACGAGGGUAAACGCAGAUACGUGUAUCGGUUUGAAAGUAUCGUACGAAUAAGGAUCGGCUAACUUCGUGCCAGCAGCCGCGGUAAUACGGAGGGGUCAAGCGUUAACCGGAUGUAUUGGGGGUAAAGGGUGCGUAGGCGGUAUGAUAAGUUAGAGUUGAAAUCCCGAGGCUCAACUUCGGAACUGCAUUUGAUACUGUUCGGCUAGAGUGUAGGAGAGGCAGGCGGAAUGUAUGGUGUAGCGGUGAAAUGCGUAGAGAUCA
This 364-nucleotide ribosomal RNA is filed under the name uncultured bacterium. RNAcentral's name for it is "partial 16S ribosomal RNA". It matches the Rfam family "Bacterial small subunit ribosomal RNA", at positions 338 to 699 of the family's 1533-position model. The record is from RNAcentral.